This 301-nucleotide ribosomal RNA is filed under the name uncultured bacterium. RNAcentral's name for it is "partial 16S ribosomal RNA". It matches the Rfam family "Bacterial small subunit ribosomal RNA", at positions 509 to 808 of the family's 1533-position model. The record is from RNAcentral.
CAGUAGCCGCGGGAAUACGUAGGUCCCGAGCGUUGUCCGGAUUUAUUGGGCGUAAAGCGAGCCCAGGCGGUUAGAUAAGUCUGAAGUUAAAGGCUGUGGCUUAACCAUAGUACGCUUUGGAAACUGUUUAACUUGAGUGCAAGAGGGGAGAGUGGAAUUCCAUGUGUAGCGGUGAAAUGCGUAGAUAUAUGGAGGAACACCGGUGGCGAAAGCGGCUCUCUGGCUUGUAACUGACGCUGAGGCUCGAAAGCGUGGGGAGCAAACAGGAUUAGAUACCCGAGUAGUCCCUGUCUCUUAUACA